RNAcentral lists this non-coding RNA (45 nucleotides) under Trichobilharzia regenti. Lineage: Eukaryota; Metazoa; Platyhelminthes; Trematoda; Strigeidida; Schistosomatidae. The record is from RNAcentral.
AUCCAAAGGACGAGUCCCAAAUAGGACGAAAUGCGCAUCCUGAAU